AUUGAACGCUGGCGGCAUGCUUUACACAUGCAAGUCGAACGGUAACAGGCCGCAAGGUGCUGACGAGUGGCGAACGGGUGGGUAAUGCAUCGGAACGUGCCCAGUCGUGGGGGAUAACUACUCGAGAGAGUAGCUAAUACCGCAUACGAUCUAUGGAUGAAAGCGGGGGACCGUAAGGCCUCGCGCGAUUGGAGCGGCCGAUGUCAGAUUAGGUAGUUGGUGGGGUAAAGGCUCACCAAGCCAACGAUCUGUAGCUGGUCUGAGAGGACGACCCGCCACACUGGGACUGAGACACGGCCCAGACUCCUACGGGAGGCAGCAGUGGGGAAUUUUGGACAAUGGGCGCAAGCCUGAUCCAGCAAUGCCGCGUGCAGGAAGAAGGCCUUCGGGUUGUAAACUGCUUUUGUACGGAACGAAACGGCUCUGGUUAAUACCCGGGGCUAAUGACGGUACCGUAAGAAUAAGCACCGGCUAACUACGUG
RNAcentral lists this ribosomal RNA (482 nucleotides) under uncultured bacterium. RNAcentral's name for it is "partial 16S ribosomal RNA". It matches the Rfam family "Bacterial small subunit ribosomal RNA", at positions 30 to 507 of the family's 1533-position model. The record is from RNAcentral.